This 251-nucleotide ribosomal RNA is filed under the name uncultured bacterium. RNAcentral describes it as "partial 16S ribosomal RNA". It matches the Rfam family "Bacterial small subunit ribosomal RNA", at positions 525 to 775 of the family's 1533-position model. The record is from RNAcentral.
ACGGGGGGUCCAAGCGUUAUUCGGAAUCAUUGGGUGUAAAGCGCAUGUAGGCGGUUGGGUAUGUCAGAUGUGAAAGCCCGGGGCUUAACCCCGGAAGUGCAUUUGAAACUGCCUGGCUUGAGUCUCGGAGAGGAAAGUGGAAUUCCCAGUGUGGAGGUGGAAUUCGUAGAUAUUGGGAGGAACACCGGUGGCGAAAGCGACUUUCUGGACGAUGACUGACGCUGAGGCACGAAAGUGUGGGUAUCAAACAG